Molecule: microRNA precursor, 59 nt
Filed under: Mus pahari (shrew mouse)
Lineage: Eukaryota; Metazoa; Chordata; Mammalia; Rodentia; Muridae
Description: microRNA 6980 (MGP_PahariEiJ_G0006923.1)
Source: RNAcentral
UCAGGGUAGGAGGGGAGGCUAGGCUAGCAUACACCUGGCUGACCCGUCCUCCACCCCAG